UAAGUUCUUCAGGGCAGGGUGAAAUUCCCUACCGGCGGUAAAGCCCGCGAGCAGUUCAUGUAUAUGGAUUGCAGAUUUGGUGAAGCUGAUAAUUGAUUAUCUAGCAAUUCCAAAGCCGACAGUAAAGUCUGGAUGGGAGAAGAAGCAG
Molecule: regulatory RNA element, 148 nt
Organism: Clostridium argentinense CDC 2741
Lineage: Bacteria; Bacillati; Bacillota; Clostridia; Eubacteriales; Clostridiaceae
Rfam family: FMN riboswitch aptamer (RFN element)
About the family: The RFN element is a highly conserved domain that is found frequently in the 5'-untranslated regions of prokaryotic mRNAs that encode for flavin mononucleotide (FMN) biosynthesis and transport proteins. This element is a metabolite-dependent riboswitch that directly binds FMN in the absence of proteins.
Source: Rfam